Molecule: small RNA, 28 nt
Filed under: Bombyx mori (domestic silkworm)
Lineage: Eukaryota; Metazoa; Arthropoda; Insecta; Lepidoptera; Bombycidae
Description: ovarian small RNA-19844
Source: RNAcentral
UAAUGUGAUAGCCGACACGCUUAGCCGC